Molecule: ribosomal RNA, 1346 nt
Filed under: uncultured bacterium
Lineage: Bacteria
Description: partial 16S ribosomal RNA
Rfam family: Bacterial small subunit ribosomal RNA
Source: RNAcentral
GACGAACGUUGGCGGCGUGCUUAACACAUGCAAGUCGAACGGAAAGGCCCUGCUUUUGUGGGGUGCUCGAGUGGCGAACGGGUGAGUAACACGUGAGUAACCUGCCCUUGACUUUGGGAUAACUUCAGGAAACUGGGGCUAAUACCGGAUAGGAGCUCCUGCUGCAUGGUGGGGGUUGGAAAGUUUCGGCGGUUGGGGAUGGACUCGCGGCUUAUCAGCUUGUUGGUGGGGUAGUGGCUUACCAAGGCUUUGACGGGUAGCCGGCCUGAGAGGGUGACCGGCCACAUUGGGACUGAGAUACGGCCCAGACUCCUACGGGAGGCAGCAGUGGGGAAUAUUGCACAAUGGGCGGAAGCCUGAUGCAGCAACGCCGCGUGCGGGAUGACGGCCUUCGGGUUGUAAACCGCUUUCGCCUGUGACGAAGCGUGAGUGACGGUAAUGGGUAAAGAAGCACCGGCUAACUACGUGCCAGCAGCCGCGGUGAUACGUAGGGUGCGAGCGUUGUCCGGAUUUAUUGGGCGUAAAGGGCUCGUAGGUGGUUGAUCGCGUCGGAAGUGUAAUCUUGGGGCUUAACCCUGAGCGUGCUUUCGAUACGGGUUGACUUGAGGAAGGUAGGGGAGAAUGGAAUUCCUGGUGGAGCGGUGGAAUGCGCAGAUAUCAGGAGGAACACCAGUGGCGAAGGCGGUUCUCUGGGCCUUUCCUGACGCUGAGGAGCGAAAGCGUGGGGAGCGAACAGUCUUAGAUACCCUGGUAGUCCACGCUGUAAACGGUGGGUACUAGGUGUGGGGUCCAUUCCACGGGUUCCGUGCCGUAGCUAACGCUUUAAGUACCCCGCCUGGGGAGUACGGCCGCAAGGCUAAAACUCAAAGGAAUUGACGGGGCCCCGCACAAGCGGCGGAGCAUGCGGAUUAAUUCGAUGCAACGCGUAGAACCUUACCUGGGUUUGACAUGGAUCGGGAGUGCUCAGAGAUGGGUGUGCCUCUUUUGGGGUCGGUUCACAGGUGGUGCAUGGCUGUCGUCAGCUCGUGUCGUGAGAUGUUGGGUUAAGUCCCGCAACGAGCGCAACCCUUGUUCACUGUUGCCAGCACGUUAUGGUGGGGACUCAGUGGAGACCGCCGGGGUCAACUCGGAGGAAGGUGGGGAUGACGUCAAGUCAUCAUGCCCCUUAUGUCCAGGGCUUCACGCAUGCUACAAUGGCUGGUACAGAGAGUGGCGAGCCUGUGAGGGUGAGCGAAUCUCGGAAAGCCGGUCUCAGUUCGGAUUGGGGUCUGCAACUCGACCUCAUGAAGUCGGAGUCGCUAGUAAUCGUAGAUCAGCAACGCUGCGGUGAAUACGUUCCCGGGGCU